This 428-nucleotide ribosomal RNA is filed under the name uncultured bacterium. RNAcentral's name for it is "bacterial SSU rRNA". It matches the Rfam family "Bacterial small subunit ribosomal RNA", at positions 355 to 776 of the family's 1533-position model. The record is from RNAcentral.
UAGGGAGUUUUCGACAAUGGGGGCAACCCUGAUCGAGCAACGCCGCGUGAGUGAUGAAGGUCUUCGGAUUGUAAAACUCUUUUAUUUGGGAUAAAUGGCUAGGGUAGGUAAUGACCUUAGUUUGAUAGUACCUUUUGAAUAAGCAACGACUAACUACGUGCCAGCAGUCGCGGUAAUACGUAGGUUGCAAGCGUUAUCCGGAAUUAUUGGGCGUAAAGAGUGAGCAGGCGGUCUAUUAAGUUUGAGGUCAAAUCGAUGGGCUUAACCCAUUCUCGCUUCAAAAACUGGUAGACUAGAGUAUGUGAGAGGUAAGUAGAACUCCAUGUGUAGCGGUGAAAUGCGUAGAUAUAUGGAAGAAUACCAGUGGCGAAGGCGGCUUACCAGCACAAUACUGACGCUCAGUCACGAAAGCACAGGGAGCAAAUAGG